This 455-nucleotide ribosomal RNA is filed under the name uncultured bacterium. RNAcentral's name for it is "bacterial SSU rRNA". It matches the Rfam family "Bacterial small subunit ribosomal RNA", at positions 28 to 507 of the family's 1533-position model. The record is from RNAcentral.
GAUGAACGCUGGCGGCGUGCUUAACACAUGCAAGUCGAACGUGAGAAUAGCAAUAUUUGAAAGUGGCAAACGGGUGAGUAACACGUGGGAAUCUGCCUCGAAGUGGGGGAUAACGAUUGGAAACGGUCGCUAAUACCGCACGGUUCUGCUCUGAUGGGAAUGGAGCAGAUAAAGAUUUAUCGCUUUGAGAGGGGCCCGCGGCCGAUUAGCUAGUUGGUAAGGUAAAGGCUUACCAAGGCGAUUAUCGGUAGCUGGUCUGAGAGGACGAUCAGCCAUACGGGAACUGAGACACGGUCCCGACUCCUACGGGGGGCAGCAGUGAGGAAUAUUGGGCAAUGGGCGAAAGCCUGACCCAGCAACGCCGCGUGGAGGAUGAAGGCUUUAGGGUUGUAAACUCCUUUUGUGGGGGAAAAGAAUGGAUGGUACCCCAAGAAUAAGUCACGGCUAACUACGUG